GAUGAACGCUGGCGGCGUGCCUAACACAUGCAAGUCGAACGGAGUCCAGCCUUUAAGACCUUCGGGUCAAAGAGGGGAAGACUGAGUGGCGGACGGGUGAGUAACACGUGGGCAACCUGGCUCAUAGAGGGGGAUAACAGAGAGAAAUUUCUGCUAAUACCGCAUAAGCACACACUGCCGCAUGGCAGAGGGUGAAAAGAGAAUCGCUAUGAGAUGGACCCGCGUCUGAUUAGCCAGUUGGCAGGGUAAGAGCCUACCAAAGCGACGUUCAGUAGCCGAUCUGAGAGGAUGAACGGCCACAUUGGGACUGAGACACGGCCCAAACUCCUACGGGAGGCAGCAGUGGGGGAUAUUGCACAAUGGGGGGAACCCUGAUGCAGCGACGCCGCGUGAGUGAAGAAGUAUUUCGGUAUGUAAAGCUCUAUCAGCAGGGAAGAUAAUGACAGUACCUGAAGAAGAAGCCCCGGCUAACUACGUG
This 478-nucleotide ribosomal RNA is filed under the name uncultured bacterium. RNAcentral describes it as "partial 16S ribosomal RNA". It matches the Rfam family "Bacterial small subunit ribosomal RNA", at positions 28 to 507 of the family's 1533-position model. The record is from RNAcentral.